This 75-nucleotide transfer RNA is filed under the name Candidatus Cloacimonadota bacterium. RNAcentral's name for it is "tRNA-Gln". It matches the Rfam family "tRNA". From Rfam's summary of the family: Transfer RNA (tRNA) molecules are approximately 80 nucleotides in length. Their secondary structure includes four short double-helical elements and three loops (D, anti-codon, and T loops). Further hydrogen bonds mediate the characteristic L-shaped molecular structure. tRNAs have two regions of fundamental functional importance: the anti-codon, which is responsible for specific mRNA codon recognition, and the 3' end, to which the tRNAs corresponding amino acid is attached (by aminoacyl-tRNA synthetases). tRNAs cope with the degeneracy of the genetic code in two manners: having more than one tRNA (with a specific anti-codon) for a particular amino acid; and 'wobble' base-pairing, i.e. permitting non-standard base-pairing at the 3rd anti-codon position. The record is from RNAcentral. Lineage: Bacteria; Pseudomonadati; Candidatus Cloacimonadota. RNAcentral also lists the same sequence under 2 other names.
UGGGCAGUCGUCAAGCGGUAAGACACAAGGUUUUGGUCCUUGCAUUCGGGGGUUCGAAUCCUCCCUGCCCAGCCA